CAGCUAAGCCUUCCAGAUGGAUCACAUAUGAUAGCCUGUGCACUUGACUGAAGUUUUAGAGACUGAUAAGACUGUGGAGUGUACACGGCUUAUGAAAGGAAUUGUAUCAAGUCAGAAAGGAUAUUUGUUUGAGACUGUAUGCCUGCUCACUCUGAUAUUGCUUUUUAACGUACUAGGGGAUAGAAAGUCCCAAAAAAACUAAAUUUGGUUUCAUAUUUCAUUAAAUGUCAACUUAAGGCACAUUGCAGUGUCUGUGAGAUCCUGAAGUUCUUUUGCCAGGAGUCUGAUAGCAAGAAGAAUUUGAGAAGAUGUUUUUUUCUCUCUGGAAGAUUAGGCCUGCGUACAUAAGGUCAUUGCAGGCCCAAGCAUCAAAGAAAGGGGUGAUCUACACAACAGACGCAUUGCUCCAACAUACAGCUUUGCUCCUGGGAAUGCUUGGGAUUGGUUUCUCUUGCUAUGGCACUCAUCAACUGACCCAAGGGAAGCAGCGGACCUGAAAACUUACAUUUGUGUUGGAACAUGGACCUAUAAGUGAACCUUUACACCGGGGAAAUAAACUUUUUUUCCCUCAAUUUUUUACCUUUUCU
RNAcentral lists this long non-coding RNA (587 nucleotides) under Phascolarctos cinereus (koala). Its description in RNAcentral is "lncRNA (ENSPCIG00000021365.2)". Lineage: Eukaryota; Metazoa; Chordata; Mammalia; Diprotodontia; Phascolarctidae. The record is from RNAcentral.